This 497-nucleotide ribosomal RNA is filed under the name uncultured bacterium. RNAcentral's name for it is "partial 16S ribosomal RNA". It matches the Rfam family "Bacterial small subunit ribosomal RNA", at positions 28 to 507 of the family's 1533-position model. The record is from RNAcentral.
GAUGAACGCUGGCGGCGUGCCUAAUACAUGCAAGUAGAACGCUGAAGCUUGGUGCUUGCACCGAGCGGAUGAGUUGCGAACGGGUGAGUAACGCGUAGGUAACCUGCCUCUUAGCGGGGGAUAACUAUUGGAAACGAUAGCUAAUACCGCAUAAAAGUCGACAUCGCAUGAUGUUGACUUGAAAGGUGCAAUUGCAUCACUAAGAGAUGGACCUGCGUUGUAUUAGCUAGUUGGUGAGGUAACGGCCCACCAAGGCGACGAUACAUAGCCGACCUGAGAGGGUGAUCGGCCACAAUGGGACUGAGACACGGCCCAGACUCCUACGGGAGGCAGCAGUAGGGGAUCUUCGGCAAUGGGGGCAACCCUGGCCGAGCAACGCCGCGUGGGUGAAGAAGGUUUUCGGAUCGUAAAGCUCUGUUGUAAGAGAAGAACGAGUGUGAGAGUGGAAAGUUCACACUGUGACGGUAACUUACCAGAAAGGGACGGCUAACUACGUG